GAAACAUUUACUUCACAACUACCGCCGAAAGAAAAUUCUUCUGUGCUUCAAGAAAGUUCAGGACCUCCUAAAGUCAAGAAGAAGGACAUCAUUCCUGACCCUAAUGUUGACAAACAAGCUUCAGAAGGAGAUCAGUCAACGAUAAUGGGGUGUGGAUCAUCGACAAGAGUGGAAACCCUUCAAAAGACAAAUGGCCAUCUGGAAACAUUUACUCCACAACCGCCACAGAAGGAAAAUUCUCCUCCUCUUCAAGAAGGUUUAGGACCUCCUAACCUCAAGGAAAAUGACAUCAUUCCCAACCCUAAUAUGUUCACGGCUAAUG
Gigantopelta aegis is the source of this 322-nucleotide long non-coding RNA. RefSeq lists it as uncharacterized. Lineage: Eukaryota; Metazoa; Mollusca; Gastropoda; Neomphalida; Peltospiridae. The record is from RefSeq and is a predicted model, not a curated record. The transcript is spliced from 3 exons.